Molecule: ribosomal RNA, 496 nt
Filed under: uncultured bacterium
Lineage: Bacteria
Description: partial 16S ribosomal RNA
Rfam family: Bacterial small subunit ribosomal RNA
Source: RNAcentral
GACGAACGCUGGCGGCGUGCCUAAUACAUGCAAGUUGAGCGCUUAAGGUUGGUACUUGUACCAACUGGAUGAGCAGCGCACGGGUGAGUAACGCGUGGGGAAUCUGCCUUUGAGCGGGGGACAACAUUUGGAAACGAAUGCUAAUACCGCAUAAAAACUUUAAACACAAGUUUUAAGUUUGAAAGAUGCAAUUGCAUCACUCAAAGAUGAUCCCGCGUUGUAUUAGCUAGUUGGUGAGGUAAAGGCUCACCAAGGCGAUGAUACAUAGCCGACCUGAGAGGGUGAUCGGCCACAUUGGGACUGAGACACGGCCCAAACUCCUACGGGAGGCAGCAGUAGGGAAUCUUCGGCAAUGGACGAAAGUCUGACCGAGCAACGCCGCGUGAGUGAAGAGGUUUUCGGAUCGUAAAACUCUGUUGGUAGAGAAGAACGUUGGUGAGAGUGGAAAGCUCAUCAAGUGACGGUAACUACCCAGAAAGGGACGGCUAACUACGUG